This 465-nucleotide ribosomal RNA is filed under the name uncultured bacterium. RNAcentral's name for it is "partial 16S ribosomal RNA". It matches the Rfam family "Bacterial small subunit ribosomal RNA", at positions 28 to 507 of the family's 1533-position model. The record is from RNAcentral.
GAUGAACGCUGGCGGCGUGCUUAACACAUGCAAGUCGAACGGAAAGGCCUUGCUUGCAGGGCACUCGAGUGGCGAACGGGUGAGUAACACGUGGGUGCUUUGCCCUCAACUUCGGGAUAAGCCUGGGAAACUGGGUCUAAUACCGGAUAGGAGCCACGUUCAGUGUGAUGGUUGGAAGGUUUUUUCGGUUUCGGAUGAGCCCGCGGCCUAUUAGCCUGUUGGUGGGGUAAUGGCCUACCAAGGCGGCGACGGGUAGCCGGCCUGAGAGGGUGGGCGACCACAAUGGGGCUGAUGUACGGCCGAGACUCCUACGGGGGGAAGCAGUGGGGAAGAUUACUGGAUGGGGGCGAGCCUGAUGCAGCAGCGCUGCGGGGGGGAUGACGGCCUUCGGGUUGUAGAAAAGUUUCGCUAGGAGCGAAGCUUUUUAUGACGGUACCUAGAGAAGAAGCACCGGCUAACUACGUG